Small nuclear RNA from Bombyx mandarina (wild silkworm), 199 nucleotides. RefSeq annotates it as U2 spliceosomal RNA. The record is from RefSeq and is a predicted model, not a curated record. Lineage: Eukaryota; Metazoa; Arthropoda; Insecta; Lepidoptera; Bombycidae.
AUCGCUUCUCGGCCUUUUGGCUAAGAUCAAAGUGUAUUAUCUGCUUUAUAGUAUCUGCUCUUUUCAGCUUAAUAGCUGAAAUUUCCCUCAUUGAGGGACCAGUAUACUAAACUGAUUUUUGUAAGAUUUGUCACAAUUUUGAAAUAAGUUGCAUUGCGUCUUUCUUAAUACUCUACAAGCAAUGUAACGCGAAUUAAAU